AAAUCCGGUUGAUCCUGCCGGAGGCUACCGCUAUUGGAGUUCGAUUAAGCCAUGCGAGUCGUGAGUCUUAGGGACUCGGCGUACCGCUCAGUAACACGUGGGUAACCUGCCCUAUGCUGGGGAAUAACCUCGGGAAACUGAGAAUAAUGCCCCA
RNAcentral lists this ribosomal RNA (154 nucleotides) under Methanobacteriota archaeon. RNAcentral's name for it is "Euryarchaeota archaeon partial 16S ribosomal RNA". It matches the Rfam family "Archaeal small subunit ribosomal RNA", at positions 1 to 156 of the family's 1478-position model. The record is from RNAcentral. Lineage: Archaea; Methanobacteriati; Methanobacteriota.